GCCGCCCCUACACUCUAACCACUAGGCUACCCUGCCGCCUCCACACUCUAACCACUAGGUUACCUGCCGCCCCUACACUCUAACCACUAGUUUACCUGCCGCCCCUACACUCUAACCACUAGGCUACCCUGCCGCCCCUACACUCUAACCACAAGCCUACCCUGCCGCCCCUACACUCUAACCACUAGGCUACCCUGCCGCCCCUACACUCUAACCACUAGGCUACCCUGCCGCCCCUACACUCUAACCACUAGGCUACCCUGCCACCUCUACACUCUAACCACUAGGCUACCCUGCCAACCCUACACUCUAACCACUAGGCUACCCUGCCACCUCUACACUCUAACCACUAGGCUACCCUGCCACCCCUACACUCUAACCACUAGGCUACCUGCCGCCUCUACACUCUAACCACUAGGCUACCUGCCGCCUCUACACUCUAACCACUAGGCUACGCUGCCGCCUCUACACUCUAACCACUAGGCUACCUGCCGCCUCUACGCUCUAACCACUAGGCUACCCUGCCGCCCCUACACUCUAACCACUAGGCUACCUGCCGCCUCUACACUCUAACCACUAGGCUACCCUGCCGCCCCUACACUCUAACCACUAGGCUACCCUGCCGCCUCUACACUCUAACCACUAGGCUACCUGCCACCUCUACACUCUAACCACUAGGUUACCUGCCUCCUCUAC
Molecule: long non-coding RNA, 696 nt
Organism: Oncorhynchus tshawytscha (Chinook salmon)
Lineage: Eukaryota; Metazoa; Chordata; Actinopteri; Salmoniformes; Salmonidae
Source: Ensembl